UAGUUAGUUGGUUAGGUAAACGGCUAACCAAGACUGUAAUGGGUAGGGGUUCUGAGAGGAUUAUCCCCCACACUGGUACUGAGACACGGACCAGACUCCUACGGGAGGCAGCAGUAAGGAAUAUUGGGCAAUGGACGCAAGUCUGACCCAGCCAUGCCGCGUGCAGGAUGACGGCCUUAUGGGUUGUAAACUGCUUUUGUAUGGGAUUAAAGUGUUGUACGUGUACGACAUUGCAAGUACCAUACGAAUAAGCAUCGGCUAACUCCGUGCCAGCAGCCGCGGUAAUACGGAGGAUGCAAGCGUUAUCCGAAAUCAUUGGGUUUAAAGGGUGCGUAGGUUGAUUAUUAAGUCAGUGGUGAAAAUUCUGGGCUCAACCCGGGACUUGCCGUUGAAACUGAUAAUCUUGAGUUGUAACUGAUGUGGGCGGAAUGUGUCAAGUAACGGUUGAAAUGCAUAGAUAUGACACAGAACACCGAUAGCGAAGGCAGUUCACAAAAUUACAACUGACACUGAGGCACGAAAGCGUGGGUAUCAACCAGGAUUAGAUACCCUGGUAGUCCACGCUGUAAACGAUGAUCACUAGCUGUUUGCGAUACAUUGUAAGUGGUUAAGCGAAAGCGAUAAGUGAUUCACCUGGGGAGUACGUCGGCAACGAUGAACUCAAAGGAAUUGACGGGGGCCCGCACAAGCGGAGGAGCAUGUGGUUUAAUUCGAUGAUACGCGAGGAACCUUACCUGGGCUUGAACGUAUGGUGCAUGAGUGUGAAAGCACU
RNAcentral lists this ribosomal RNA (772 nucleotides) under uncultured organism. RNAcentral's name for it is "bacterial SSU rRNA". It matches the Rfam family "Bacterial small subunit ribosomal RNA", at positions 242 to 1011 of the family's 1533-position model. The record is from RNAcentral.